This 292-nucleotide ribosomal RNA is filed under the name uncultured bacterium. Its description in RNAcentral is "partial 16S ribosomal RNA". The record is from RNAcentral.
GGACUACCCGGGUUUCUAAUCCUGUUUGCUCCCCAUGCUUUCGUACCUCAGCGUCAGUAUUAGGCCAGAUGGCUGCCUUCGCCAUCGGUAUUCCUCCAGAUCUCUACGCAUUUCACCGCUACACCUGGAAUUCUACCAUCCUCUCCCAUACUCUAGCUUCCCAGUAUCGAAUGCAAUUCCCAAGUUAAGCUCGGGGAUUUCACAUCCGACUUAAAAAGCCGCCUACGCACGCUUUACGCCCAGUAAAUCCGAUUAACGCUCGCACCCUCUGUAUUACCGCGGCUGCUGGCAC